GACGAACGCUGGCGGCGUGCUUAACACAUGCAAGUCGAACGGAAAGGCCCUGCGUUUUUGGGGUUCUCGAGGGGCGAACGGGUGAGUAACACGUGAGUAACCGGCCCUUGACUUUGGUAUAACUUCAGGAAACUGGGGCUAAGACCGUAUAGGAGCUCCUGCUGCAUGGUGGGGGGUGGAAAGUUUAGGCGGGUGGGGAUGGACUGGCGGCUGAUCAGCUUGUUGGUGGGGUAGGGGCUUACCAAGGCUUUGGCGGGUAGCCGGCCGGUGAGGGUGACUGGCCACCAUGGGACUACGGUACGGACCAGACUCCUACGGGAGGCAGCAGUGGGGAAUCUUGCACAAUGGGACGAAGCCUGAUGAAGCAACGCCGCGUGCGGGAUGCCGGCCUUCGGGUUGUAAACCGCUUUAGCCUGUGACGACGCGUGAGUGACGGUAAUGGGUAAAGAAGCACCGGCUAACUACGUG
RNAcentral lists this ribosomal RNA (468 nucleotides) under uncultured bacterium. Its description in RNAcentral is "partial 16S ribosomal RNA". It matches the Rfam family "Bacterial small subunit ribosomal RNA", at positions 28 to 507 of the family's 1533-position model. The record is from RNAcentral.